This 87-nucleotide transfer RNA is filed under the name Aquisalimonas asiatica. Its description in RNAcentral is "tRNA_Leu_CAA". It matches the Rfam family "tRNA". Rfam says of the family: Transfer RNA (tRNA) molecules are approximately 80 nucleotides in length. Their secondary structure includes four short double-helical elements and three loops (D, anti-codon, and T loops). Lineage: Bacteria; Pseudomonadati; Pseudomonadota; Gammaproteobacteria; Chromatiales; Ectothiorhodospiraceae. The record is from RNAcentral.
GCGGGGGUGGCGGAAUUGGUAGACGCAGUGGCCUCAAAAGCCACCGGUUGAGAGACCGUGCGGGUUCGAGUCCCGCUCCCCGCACCA